CAACGCGAAGAACCUUUACCAGGUCUUGACAUCCGAUGCUAUUUCUAGAGAUAGAAAGUUACUUCGGUACAUCGGUGACAGGUGGUGCGAUGGUUGUCGUCAGCUCGUGUCGUGAGAUGUUGGGUUAAGUCCCGCAACGAGCGCAACCCCUAUUGUUAGUUGCCAUCAUUCAGUUGGGCACGUCUAGCGAGACUGCCGGUAAUAAACCGGAGGAAGUGGGGAUGACGUCAAAUCAUCAUGCCCCUUAUGACCUGGGCUACACACGUGCUACAAUGGUUGGUACAACGAGUUGCGAGUCGGUGACGGCGAGCUAAUCUCUUAAAGCCAAUCUCAGUUCGGAUUGUAGGCUGCAACUCGCCUACAUGAAGUCGGAAUCGCUAGUAAUCGCGGAUCAGCACGCCGCGGUGAAUACGUUCCCGGGCCUU
Molecule: ribosomal RNA, 425 nt
Filed under: uncultured Streptococcus sp.
Lineage: Bacteria; Bacillati; Bacillota; Bacilli; Lactobacillales; Streptococcaceae
Description: bacterial SSU rRNA
Rfam family: Bacterial small subunit ribosomal RNA
Source: RNAcentral